AGUGAACGCUGGCGGUAGGCCUAACACAUGCAAGUCGAACGGCAGCGCAGUAAGAGCUUGCUCUUGCGGGUGGCGAGUGGCGGACGGGUGAGGAAUACAUCGGAAUCUACUUUUUCGUGGGGGAUAACGUAGGGAAACUUACGCUAAUACCGCAUACGACCUACGGGUGAAAGCAGGGGAUCUUCGGACCUUGCGCGAUUGAAUGAGCCGAUGUCGGAUUAGCUAGUUGGCGGGGUAAAGGCCCACCAAGGCGACGAUCCGUAGCUGGUCUGAGAGGAUGAUCAGCCACACUGGAACUGAGACACGGUCCAGACUCCUACGGGAGGCAGCAGUGGGGAAUAUUGGACAAUGGGCGCAAGCCUGAUCCAGCCAUACCGCGUGGGUGAAGAAGGCCUUCGGGUUGUAAAGCCCUUUUGUUGGGAAAGAAAAGCAGCAGGUUAAUACCCCGCUGUUCUGACGGUACCCAAAGAAUAAGCACCGGCUAACUUCGUG
Molecule: ribosomal RNA, 492 nt
Filed under: uncultured bacterium
Lineage: Bacteria
Description: partial 16S ribosomal RNA
Rfam family: Bacterial small subunit ribosomal RNA
Source: RNAcentral